This 396-nucleotide ribosomal RNA is filed under the name uncultured bacterium. Its description in RNAcentral is "partial 16S ribosomal RNA". It matches the Rfam family "Bacterial small subunit ribosomal RNA", at positions 523 to 918 of the family's 1533-position model. The record is from RNAcentral.
AUACGGAGGGUCCGAGCGUUAAUCGGAAUUACUGGGCGUAAAGCGCGCGUAGGUGGUUCAGUCAGUCAGAUGUGAAAGCCCCGGGCUCAACCUGGGAACUGCACCUGAUACUGCUGAGCUAGAGUACGGUAGAGGGCAGUGGAAUUUCCGGUGUAGCGGUGAAAUGCGUAGAGAUCGGAAGGAACACCAGUGGCGAAGGCGACUGCCUGGACUGAUACUGACACGGAGGUGCGAAAGCGUGGGUAGCAAACAGGAUUAGAUACCCUGGUAGUCCACGCCGUAAACGAUGUCAACUAGCCGUUGGGGGACUUGAUCCUUUAGUGGCGAAGCUAACGCGAUAAGUUGACCGCCUGGGGAGUACGGCCGCAAGGUUAAAACUCAAAGGAAUUGGCGGGG